UCAACUAUGGGGUUGUAACAAACACCGCAACAUCAAAAUCAUACAAAUACUCCCAAAAAAAUCAUACGUAGCAUGGUCAAUUCAACUUAGUGGACUUACAAAGGGAUCUUAAGAUCCCAAAGGUCACGGCGGAAAUACAAAGAAUCCAAGAAAAACCAGUCUCGCCUCAGCCAGCACGAGGAUGUUGAAGCGUCCAAACUCCUAUAUAACCGAAACGCCGUCAAAAGAUCAAAAAGAGCAAAGACAUAAGAGGGUUGACAGCGCUAUUUGCAUAGCACAGCCAGUGUGACAUCAUUGACAGGGCGGCUGUCACGUCGUUCUGGGGGAAAAUAGAGCGCAAAUUGUGAAUGAGGCUGAUAUUGAAUUCUGGUAUGGCCACCAUGAAGUCGGGAUUUGAAUCCAAUUGAGCACGUUUGAACCAACUGGAGCGACGUGACCAAGAACCCAGCGUCCAGGUCCCUAACAGAGAAGGAAAAGACUGCUCUCGCAGAAUGGGAAAAUUCCUACGGCUUCAUUAAAAUCCAUCCCUCAGGUAGUCUUUAUUAAAAACUAAACGAGAUAAUCCAAUUCGAUU
This 574-nucleotide long non-coding RNA is filed under the name Cimex lectularius (bed bug). Its description in RNAcentral is "uncharacterized LOC106663663, transcript variant X2". Lineage: Eukaryota; Metazoa; Arthropoda; Insecta; Hemiptera; Cimicidae. The record is from RNAcentral.